This 253-nucleotide ribosomal RNA is filed under the name uncultured bacterium. RNAcentral describes it as "partial 16S ribosomal RNA". It matches the Rfam family "Bacterial small subunit ribosomal RNA", at positions 524 to 776 of the family's 1533-position model. The record is from RNAcentral.
UACGUAGGGUGCGAGCGUUGUCCGGAAUUAUUGGGCGUAAAGGGCUCGUAGGCGGUUUGUCGCGUCGGGAGUGAAAACACCGGGCUUAACUCGGUGCUUGCUUUCGAUACGGGCAGACUAGAGGUAUGCAGGGGAGAACGGAAUUCCUGGUGUAGCGGUGAAAUGCGCAGAUAUCAGGAGGAACACCGGUGGCGAAGGCGGUCUCUGGGCAUUACCUGACGCUGAGGAGCGAAAGUGUGGGGAGGCGAACAGG